Molecule: ribosomal RNA, 399 nt
Filed under: Triticum aestivum (bread wheat)
Lineage: Eukaryota; Viridiplantae; Streptophyta; Magnoliopsida; Poales; Poaceae
Description: partial small subunit ribosomal RNA
Source: RNAcentral
AUGGUGAGCGGCCGCGCGCGUGGGACGGCGUCUACGACGAUGGAUUCGAAGGGGCAAAAUAGGGGGAAUCGGAGGAGAAGCUCACUGCGAGCCUGCAGAGAUGCUAAGUGGGCUCGACGACGCCGGAAUCAAAGACGAAUGGCGUCGGUCCGAGUUGAAGGCGAGGUCGAUGGCGGAGCUCGGGGCCGGCCUAGCUUGAUUCCGUGCACGAGGAGGAGGAAGCAGACGAUGGCGGAUCCGCGGGACAUCCCAGCUCGGCGUGGGGGCGACGGUAGCCGCGAGGUCGACGGCAACAGCGGCGACGGAGGCGUUCGGGAGUGGGCGGAUCUGGCGAGGGGAAAGGGAAGGGGUGCGCUAGGGUUCGGCAAGGGAGGGAGGAGGACGAGAGCGUCCUCUUAA